RNAcentral lists this ribosomal RNA (429 nucleotides) under Acidobacteriota bacterium. Its description in RNAcentral is "Acidobacteria bacterium partial 16S ribosomal RNA". It matches the Rfam family "Bacterial small subunit ribosomal RNA", at positions 355 to 776 of the family's 1533-position model. The record is from RNAcentral. Lineage: Bacteria; Pseudomonadati; Acidobacteriota.
UGGGGAAUUUUGGACAAUGGGGGAAACCCUGAUCCAGCCAUCCCGCGUGUGCGAUGAAGGCCUUCGGGUUGUAAAGCACUUUUGGCAGGAAAGAAACGUCAUGGGUUAAUACCCCGUGAAACUGACGGUACCUGCAGAAUAAGCACCGGCUAACUACGUGCCAGCAGCCGCGGUAAUACGUAGGGUGCAAGCGUUAAUCGGAAUUACUGGGCGUAAAGCGUGCGCAGGCGGUUCGGAAAGAAAGAUGUGAAAUCCCAGAGCUCAACUUUGGAACUGCAUUUUUAACUACAGGGCUUGAGUGUGUCAGAGGGAGGUGGAAUUCCGCGUGUAGCAGUGAAAUGCGUAGGUAUGCGGAGGAACACCGGUGGCGAAGGCAGCCUCCUGGGAUAACAAUGACGCUCAUGCACGAAAGCGUGGGGAGCAAACAGG